RNAcentral lists this small RNA (1824 nucleotides) under Pan troglodytes (chimpanzee). RNAcentral's name for it is "processed transcript". The record is from RNAcentral. Lineage: Eukaryota; Metazoa; Chordata; Mammalia; Primates; Hominidae.
AGAUAAGUCGUACUGGACACAUGGCUACGUGCUCAUCUCCAAAGAGGUGGAGGACUGUGUUCCCGUGUUUCUGAAGCACAUUGCCUACGACAUAUACGUCUGCGGAAAGACCAUUAACCUGCUGAAGCUCUGCUGCCCCCGGCAUUACCUCUGUUGGUCCGACGUCCCUGUCCCCCGGAUCUCGGUGAUUUUCUCCCUUGAGGAGUUGAAGGAGAUUGAGAAGGACUGUGCCGUCUACGUUGGGCGCAUGGAGAGGGUGGCCCGCCACAGCUCUGUCAGCAAGGAGGAGAAGGAAUUACGUAUGGAAAUUGCAAAACAAGAAUUAAUCGCUCAUGCCCGGGAAGCAGCAUCCAGGGUCCUGAGUGCACUGAGUGACCGGCAGAUGUCAGAACGGAUGGCCUUGGAUGCCCGGAAGCGUGAGCAGUUUCAGAGGCUGAAAGAACAAUUUGUGAAGGACCAGGAGGUGGGUAGGACCUGUCCCUGCGGGGUCACGCCUGUCAGUUCUGAUUUCACAGGCCAGGCUCUAUGUGUUUUAUAGCGACGCCAGGCGGCCAGGCAGGAGGAGCUGGAUGAUGACUUCAGCUACGCCCGUGAACUCCGAGACAGGGAGAGGAGGCUGAAGUCCCUGGAGGAGGAGCUGGAGAGGAAGGCGAGGUAGGGCAGCCCGGGCUCCAGGCCCAGGGGUGCAGUGUGGCAGGGGCCCCAUAGCUCUGGCUUAAUCUUACUGAUGAUUUUACUUUUUGUUUUGAAAACCUUCAAACAUACAUUAAGGUAGAAAGACCAAUAUGCUGAACCCAGAGUGGCUGUGGGCGUUCUGCCUUAUCCAGGCAUCCUUAGCUGUUCUGCGCGUUGUCUUGUGGUGGUUUGUAUGGAUUAGGGUCCAGGCGAGGCCUGCGUACUGUUUGGGGUCCUGUCUCUUUAUUUAUCUUCUUUCUGAACAUCCUUCCUUAUUUAUUUUUAAGUCUGUUAUUGGUCUGACAGAGACAGGGCGUUUUUUUUUUUUUUUUUUUUUUUUUUUUUUUUUUUUUUUGGAAACAGAGUCUUGCUCUGUCACCCAGGCUGGAGUGCAGUGGCACAAUCUCGGCUCACUGUAACCUCUGCCUUCCAGGUUCAAGCAAUUCUCCUGCCUCAUCCUCCUGAGUAGCUGGGGUUACAGGCAUCCACCACCACAUCCAGCUAGUUUUUUGUAUUUUUAGUACAGACGGGGUUUAACCAUGUUGGCCAGGCUGGUCUCAAACUCCUGACCUCAGGUGAUCCACCUGCCUCGGCCUCCCAAAGUGCUGGGAUUACAGGCGCGAGCCACCGCGCUCGGCUGAGACAGGGCAUUUGUCCAGCACAGCAUCUGCGUCUGUCUCCCUGUGCUGUUAUCAGCCUGUCCUGUGCUGUCAUCAGGCUGUCCCAGGCUGAGUAGUGCUGGAUCCUUCAAGGGGCUGUUCGGGGUUUUGGAGAGAGCCCCUCACGGGAGGGGCUGGCCGCUUCCUGCUCAGCCCCACGCGAUGCUGUAGGUCCCAACCUUAGAUCUGUUUAUGGAGCGAGCGAGGGAUGUGUGUGGAGGGGUGCGCGUGCCUGUGUGCACGCGUGUCCGUGUAUGCAUUUAUGCAUGAGUACGUGUUCAUGCAUGUAUGUCAGUCAAUACUGUCCUGUUAACACAUGGAGAAAACCAGGCCUAGACACUACAUCUCUGGCCUGUGGCAGCCAAAUUAGAGCUGGCCAGUCCAGGUUUGAGCCCAGUUGCCUGCUGGUGAGAAGCUCAAAAUCAUGGGGCACGAUCGGUGAAGCAGGCUUUGAAUUCAGCAAAUAAAGCGUUUGUGUUGGUUUUGCUUC